GCGCAGGCGGUUUGACCUGUCGGGAACUAGGCGCGCCCAUCCGAGCCUCAUCAUUUGUGACGUUCCACAACCUUGCCAAGGUUGGGGUCGAGGGUUCGAAUCCCUUCGCCCGCUCCA
Molecule: transfer RNA, 117 nt
Filed under: Methylocella silvestris BL2
Lineage: Bacteria; Pseudomonadati; Pseudomonadota; Alphaproteobacteria; Hyphomicrobiales; Beijerinckiaceae
Description: tRNA-Und (NNN) (tRNA-Und-NNN-1-1)
Source: RNAcentral